GCCCAGGUGGUGAAAUGGCAUACACGUCAGGUUUAGGACCUGAUGCCGCAAGGCGUGGAGGUUCGACUCCUCUCCUGGGCACCG
Molecule: transfer RNA, 84 nt
Filed under: Candidatus Terrybacteria bacterium RIFCSPLOWO2_01_FULL_40_23
Lineage: Bacteria; Candidatus Terryibacteriota
Description: tRNA-Leu
Rfam family: tRNA
About the family: Transfer RNA (tRNA) molecules are approximately 80 nucleotides in length. Their secondary structure includes four short double-helical elements and three loops (D, anti-codon, and T loops).
Source: RNAcentral